GUGGGUUUGUAAGUCGGGCGUGAAAUCCCUCGGCUUAACCGAGGAACUGCGUCCGAAACUGCAUGGCUUGAGGACGGAAGGGGAAGGUGGAAUUCCUGGUGGAGCGGUGAAAUGCGUAGAUAUCAGGAGGAACGCCGGUGGCGAAAGCGGCCUUCUGGUCCGUUUCUGACGCUGAGGUGCGAAAGCUAGGGGAGCAAACAGGAUUAGAUACCCUGGUAGUCCUAGCCGUAAACGAUGGGCACUAAGUAGAGGGG
RNAcentral lists this ribosomal RNA (254 nucleotides) under uncultured Planctomycetales bacterium. RNAcentral describes it as "partial 16S ribosomal RNA". It matches the Rfam family "Bacterial small subunit ribosomal RNA", at positions 575 to 828 of the family's 1533-position model. RNAcentral also lists the same sequence under 1 other name. Lineage: Bacteria; Pseudomonadati; Planctomycetota; Planctomycetia; Planctomycetales. The record is from RNAcentral.